GAUGAAGAACGUAGCGAAAUGCGAUACGUAAUGUGAAUUGCAGAAUUCAGUGAAUCAUCGAAUCUUUGAACGCAUAUUGCGCUCUCUGGUAUUCCGGAGAGCAUGCUUGUUUGAGUAUCAGUAAACACCUCAACUCCCUUUUCUUUUUUGAAAUGGGAGCUGGACUUGAGUGAUCCCAACACUUUUCUCACUGGAAAGUGGCGGGUCACUUGAAAUGCAGGUGCAGCUGAACUUUUCUCUGAGCUAUAAGCAUAUCUAUUUAGUCUGCCUAAAAAACAGAUUAUUACCUUUGCUGCAGCUAACAUAAAGGAGAUGAGUUCUUGUGCUGACUGAUGCAGGAUUCACAGAGACAGCUUUGCGGCUGACUUUGUAAACUCGAUCUCAAAUCAAGUAAGACUACCCGCUGAACUUAAGCAUAUCAAUAAGCGGAGGA
This 433-nucleotide unclassified non-coding RNA is filed under the name soil metagenome. Its description in RNAcentral is "partial contains 5.8S ribosomal RNA, internal transcribed spacer 2, and large subunit ribosomal RNA". The stretch from base 1 to 120 matches the Rfam family "5.8S ribosomal RNA", at positions 35 to 154 of the family's 154-position model. The record is from RNAcentral.